CUACCCUAGAGUCUGGAAUAACCUGCGAAAGGCGGGCUAAUACUGGAUAGAGCGACGGGAUCCGCAAUUGGGUCUUUCGGGAAAGGGAGCUCGCAAGAGCCUUCGCUUUAGGAUGAGCCUGCGUCUCAUUAGCUAGUUGGUGGGGUAACGGCUCACCAAGGCAUUGAUGGGUAGCUGGUCUGAGAGGAUGGCCAGCCACACUGGAACUGAAACACGGUCCAG
This 222-nucleotide ribosomal RNA is filed under the name uncultured bacterium. Its description in RNAcentral is "partial 16S ribosomal RNA". It matches the Rfam family "Bacterial small subunit ribosomal RNA", at positions 126 to 334 of the family's 1533-position model. The record is from RNAcentral.